This 635-nucleotide unclassified non-coding RNA is filed under the name Hevea brasiliensis (rubber tree). Lineage: Eukaryota; Viridiplantae; Streptophyta; Magnoliopsida; Malpighiales; Euphorbiaceae. The record is from RNAcentral.
CAUUCCCAUGAAAACAAUAUUACGGAUGGUUGAUAAAUGAGAGGCAUGCACCAACUGUUCAACUAUCUCUCCAGAAGACAGGUUAUUUUUGAACCCCAUGGUUCCGGUAGCACAGAAUGUACAGCCCAUUUUGCAUCCAACCUGAGAGGAUACACACAAGGUUGAUCUUGGUCCUCCAGGACGAGGCUUUCCAUUUAAUUUCCCCAAGCUGGAGUCAUAUCUCAUAAUCACAGACUCCACAAAUGCUCCAUUCUGAAGCUUGAUGAGGAGCUUGGUGGUAACCCCGUCGUUUGACUCGAAGACAGAGUGGACAACAGAAGUUGAAGCUUUGAACUUGGCACGAAGCAAAGUGUAAGCCGACGAGGGCAAAGAUGGAAUAUCUUCCCAAUUGCAAUCUGGAUUCUGUAUUACAUACUUCCAAAUAAGAGGGAUGAAGCGAUUGUUGAUUCCGGCUUUGUCGAAUUCUGCCCUAAUCACUGAAGAAUCGAAUACUGAUUUCAACGCCAUUGAACCUUCACUUCACUUUUUCUUGCCCUAACUGGAGCAACGACGGCCGAUGUUCUAACGGCGACGUUUGCAAUCGGCAAAAACACUAGGUAUAGUUUUGCAAAAUUGAAUUUGGGAAAAGGUCCAAA